This 441-nucleotide ribosomal RNA is filed under the name Bacteroidetes bacterium R-38326. RNAcentral describes it as "bacterial SSU rRNA". It matches the Rfam family "Bacterial small subunit ribosomal RNA", at positions 28 to 467 of the family's 1533-position model. The record is from RNAcentral. Lineage: Bacteria; Pseudomonadati; Bacteroidota.
GAUGAACGCUAGCGGCAGGCCUAAUACAUGCAAGUCGAACGGUAUUAUCCUUCGGGGUAGUAUAGUGGCAAACGGGUGCGUAACGCGUAAAUAACCUGCCCCAAACUGGGGGAUAGCCCGGCGAAAGCUGGGGUAAACCCGCAUAGUUUCAUUUACCCGCAUGGGUUGAGUGAAUAAAGGCUUCGGCUGGUUUGGGAGGGAUUUGCGUCUGAUUAGCUAGUUGGGGGGGUAGUGGCCCACCAAGGCGAUGAUCAGUCGGGGCUCUGAGAGGAGGGUCCCCCACAUGGGCACUGAGACACGGGCCCAACUCCUACGGGAGGCAGCAGUAGGGAAUAUUGGGCAAUGGACGCAAGUCUGACCCAGCCAUGCCGCGUGGAGGAAGACGGCCCUCUGGGUUGUAAACUCCUUUUAUCAGGGAAGAAGAGUAGCGCUGCGGGGCUA